This 800-nucleotide ribosomal RNA is filed under the name uncultured rumen bacterium. RNAcentral's name for it is "bacterial SSU rRNA". It matches the Rfam family "Bacterial small subunit ribosomal RNA", at positions 47 to 834 of the family's 1533-position model. The record is from RNAcentral.
CUUAACACAUGCAAGCUCGAGGGGCAGCAUGAUCAAAGCUUGCUUUGAUUGAUGGCGACCGGCGCACGGGCUGCGUAACGCGUAUCCAACCUGCCAUGUACUCCGGGAUGGCCCUCCGAAAGGAGGAUUAAUACCGGAUGUGGUUGUUUGAGGACAUCCUCUUACAAUUAAAGAUUUAUCGGUACAUCGAUGGGGAUGCGUACGAUUAGUUAGUCGGCGGGGUAACGGCCCACCGAGACGACGAUCGUUAGGGGUUCUGAGAGGAAGGUCCCCCACAUAGGAACUGAGACACGGUCCUAACUCCUACGGGAGGCAGCAGUGAGGAAUAUUGGUCAAUGGGCGAGAGCCUGAACCAGCCAAGUAGCGUGAAGGAUGACUGCCCUAUGGGUUGUAAACUUCUUUUAGGGGCGAAUAAAGUGCCGUACGUGUACGGUAUUGCAGGUAUCCCCUGAAUAAGCAUCGGCUAAUUCCGUGCCAGCAGCCGCGGUAAUACGGAAGAUGCGAGCGUUAUCCGGAUUUAUUGGGUUUAAAGGGAGCGUAGGCGGGCUUUUAAGUCUGCGGUAAAAUGGCCGUGCUCAACGCGGUCCUGCCGUGGAAACUGGGAGUCUUGAAUGUGCACAAGGAAGGUGGAAUUCGUGGUGUAGCGGUGAAAUGCUUAGAUAUCACGAAGAACUCCGAUUGCGAAGGCAGCCUUCUGGGGCAUGAUUGACGCUGAGGCUCGAAAGCGCGGGAAUCAAACAGGAUUAGAUACCCUGGUAGUCCGCGCCGUAAACGAUGAAUACCCGUCGUGGCGACCACUG